UCAGGACGAACGCUGGCGGCGUGCUUAACACAUGCAAGUCGAACGGAAAGGUCUCUUCGGAGAUACUCGAGUGGCGAACGGGUGAGUAACACGUGGGUAAUCUGCCCUGCACUUCGGGAUAAGCCUGGGAAACUGGGUCUAAUACCGAAUAGGACCACUUGGCGCAUGCCUUGUGGUGGAAAGCUUUUGCGGUGUGGGAUGGGCCCGCGGCCUAUCAGCUUGUUGGUGGGGUGAUGGCCUACCAAGGCGACGACGGGUAGCCGGCCUGAGAGGGUGUCCGGCCACACUGGGACUGAGAUACGGCCCAGACUCCUACGGGAGGCA
RNAcentral lists this ribosomal RNA (324 nucleotides) under uncultured Mycobacterium sp. RNAcentral describes it as "bacterial SSU rRNA". It matches the Rfam family "Bacterial small subunit ribosomal RNA", at positions 24 to 350 of the family's 1533-position model. The record is from RNAcentral. Lineage: Bacteria; Bacillati; Actinomycetota; Actinomycetes; Mycobacteriales; Mycobacteriaceae.